UGAGUAACCUGCCCUUGACUCUGGGAUAAGCCUGGGAAACCGGGUCUAAUACCGGAUAUGACUGCCGGCCGCAUGGCCUGGUGGUGAAAAGCUCUAUUGCGGUUUUGGAUGGACUCGCGGCCUAUCAGCUUGUUGGCGGGGUAAUGGCCCACCAAGGCGACGACGGGUAGCCGGCCUGAGAGGGUGACCGGCCACACUGGGACUGAGACACGGCCCAGACCUCCGUACGGGAGCAG
RNAcentral lists this ribosomal RNA (236 nucleotides) under uncultured bacterium. RNAcentral's name for it is "partial 16S ribosomal RNA". It matches the Rfam family "Bacterial small subunit ribosomal RNA", at positions 118 to 347 of the family's 1533-position model. The record is from RNAcentral.